Molecule: transfer RNA, 71 nt
Filed under: Ictidomys tridecemlineatus (thirteen-lined ground squirrel)
Lineage: Eukaryota; Metazoa; Chordata; Mammalia; Rodentia; Sciuridae
Description: Spermophilus tridecemlineatus (thirteen-lined ground squirrel) tRNA
Rfam family: tRNA
About the family: Transfer RNA (tRNA) molecules are approximately 80 nucleotides in length. Their secondary structure includes four short double-helical elements and three loops (D, anti-codon, and T loops).
Source: Rfam by way of RNAcentral
UGUAUGUAGCUCAAUGGUAGAGAGCUUGCCUAGCAUGUGUGAGGCUCUGGGUUCAAUCCCCAGCACUGCAA